CUGGCGGCAGGCCUAACACAUGCAAGUCGAGCGCGCCUUCGGGUGAGCGGCGGACGGGUUAGUAACGCGUGGGAACGUGCCCUUCUCUACGGAAUAGCCUCUGGAAACGGAGAGUAAUACCGUAUACGCCCUUUGGGGGAAAGAUUUAUCGGAGAAGGAUCGGCCCGCGUUAGAUUAGGUAGUUGGUGGGGUAACGGCCUACCAAGCCUACGAUCUAUAGCUGGUUUUAGAGGAUGAUCAGCAACACUGGGACUGAGACACGGCCCAGACUUCUACGGAAGGCAGCAGUAGGGAAUCUUGGACAAUGGGCGAAAGCCUGAUCCAGCCAUGCCGCGUGAGUGAUGAAGGCCCUAGGGUUGUAAAGCUCUUUCGCCAGGGAAGAUAAUGACGGUACCUGGUAAAGAAACCCCGGCUAA
Molecule: ribosomal RNA, 416 nt
Filed under: uncultured Alphaproteobacteria bacterium
Lineage: Bacteria; Pseudomonadati; Pseudomonadota; Alphaproteobacteria
Description: bacterial SSU rRNA
Rfam family: Bacterial small subunit ribosomal RNA
Source: RNAcentral